Molecule: ribosomal RNA, 497 nt
Filed under: uncultured bacterium
Lineage: Bacteria
Description: partial 16S ribosomal RNA
Rfam family: Bacterial small subunit ribosomal RNA
Source: RNAcentral
GAUGAGCGCUGGCGGCGUGCCUAAUACAUGCAAGUCGAGCGAACGGACGAGAAGCUUGCUUCUCUGAUGUUAGCGGCGGACGGGUGAGUAACACGUGGAUAACCUACCUAUAAGACUGGGAUAACUUCGGGAAACCGGAGCUAAUACCGGAUAAUAUUUUGAACCGCAUGGUUCAAAAGUGAAAGACGGUCUUGCUGUCACUUAUAGAUGGAUCCGCGCUGCAUUAGCUAGUUGGUAAGGUAACGGCUUACCAAGGCAACGAUGCAUAGCCGACCUGAGAGGGUGAUCGGCCACACUGGAACUGAGACACGGUCCAGACUCCUACGGGAGGCAGCAGUAGGGAAUCUUCCGCAAUGGGCGAAAGCCUGACGGAGCAACGCCGCGUGAGUGAUGAAGGUCUUCGGAUCGUAAAACUCUGUUAUUAGGGAAGAACAUAUGUGUAAGUAACUGUGCACAUCUUGACGGUACCUAAUCAGAAAGCCACAGCUAACUACGUG